CCUACGGGUGACUGCAGUGAGGAAUAUUGGUCAAUGGGCGGAAGCCUGAACCAGCCAAGUCGCGUGAGGGAUUAAGGCCCUGCGGGUCGUAAACCUCUUUUGCCGGGGAGCAGUGGUCCGGACGUGUCCGGGCCGGGAGAGUACCCGGAGAAAAAGCAUCGACUAACCCCGUGCCAGCAGCCGCGGUAAUACGGGGGAUGCGAGCGUUAUCCGGAUUUAUUGGGUUUAAAGGGUGCGUAGGCGGGCAUUUAAGCCGGCGGUCAAAUGUCGGGGCUCAACCCCGGCCUGCCGUCGGAACUGGGUGCCUUGAGUGGGCGAGAAGUAUGCGGAAUGCGUGGUGUAGCGGUGAAAUGCAUAGAGAUCACACAGAACCCCGAUUGCGAAGGCAGCAUACCAGCGCCCUACUGACGCUGAGGCACGAAAGUGCGGGUAUCGAACAGGAUUAGAUACCCGUGUAGUC
Molecule: ribosomal RNA, 460 nt
Filed under: uncultured bacterium
Lineage: Bacteria
Description: partial 16S ribosomal RNA
Rfam family: Bacterial small subunit ribosomal RNA
Source: RNAcentral